AGCUCCAAUAGCGUAUAUUAAAGUUGUUGCAGUUAAAAAGCUCGUAGUUGGAUUUCUGGUUUGAGCGUCCGGUCCGCCUCCUUUGGAGGUGUGUUACUAAGGAUGUUUGAGCCAUUUUUUGUGAGGAUGUUCUUCUGCCAUUAAGUUGGUGGUUGAAUAGACUUGCAUCGUUUACUGUGAAAAAAUUAGAGUGUUUAAAGCAGGCGUUUGCUCAUUGAAUACAUUAGCAUGGAAUAAUAAGAUACGACCUUGGUGGUCUAUUUUGUUGGUUUGCACACCGAGGUAAUGAUUAAUAGGGACAGUUGGGGGUAUUCAUAUUUCAGCGUCAGAGGUGAAAUUCUUGGAUCGCUGAAAGAUGAGCUUAGGCGAAAGCAUUUACCAAGGAUGUUU
RNAcentral lists this ribosomal RNA (390 nucleotides) under uncultured eukaryote. RNAcentral describes it as "SSU rRNA". It matches the Rfam family "Eukaryotic small subunit ribosomal RNA", at positions 587 to 969 of the family's 1831-position model. The record is from RNAcentral.